Molecule: ribosomal RNA, 517 nt
Filed under: uncultured bacterium
Lineage: Bacteria
Description: bacterial SSU rRNA
Rfam family: Bacterial small subunit ribosomal RNA
Source: RNAcentral
GAACUUAGCAGAGAUGCUUUGGUGCCUUCGGGAACUCUGAGACAGGUGCUGCAUGGCUGUCGUCAGCUCGUGUUGUGAAAUGUUGGGUUAAGUCCCGCAACGAGCGCAACCCUUAUCCUUUGUUGCCAGCGGCUCGGCCGGGAACUCAAAGGAGACUGCCGGUGAUAAACCGGAGGAAGGUGGGGAUGACGUCAAGUCAUCAUGGCCCUUACGGCCAGGGCUACACACGUGCUACAAUGGCGCAUACAAAGAGAAGCGACCUCGCGAGAGCAAGCGGACCUCAUAAAGUGCGUCGUAGUCCGGAUUGGAGUCUGCAACUCGACUCCAUGAAGUCGGAAUCACUAGUAAUCGUAGAUCAGAAUGCUACGGUCGAAUACGUUCCCGGGCCUUGUACACACCGCCCGUCACACCAUGGGAGUGGGUUGCAAAAGAAGUAGGUAGCUUAACCUUCGGGAGGGCGCUUACCACUUUGUGAUUCAUGACUGGGGUGAAGUCGUAACAAGGUAAGCGUAGCGAG